This 357-nucleotide long non-coding RNA is filed under the name Heterocephalus glaber (naked mole-rat). RNAcentral's name for it is "lncRNA (ENSHGLG00100048847.1)". The record is from RNAcentral. Lineage: Eukaryota; Metazoa; Chordata; Mammalia; Rodentia; Bathyergidae.
GUAACCGCUAAGUCCACAACACAAUCUUCUUGACAAGGUCUCUUCCUCUUGCUCUUCUUCCUGCUUCCAUUUGACACCCAGGAAGACACUACUGCAGGAGAAGCAAUUCUGGAUCAAUGCUUGGGCUCCAUAUUGGGAGGCCAUUUACAGCUCACCUAUCUCAAUGAACACCUUCAGCACAGCCAAAAAAGCUUUGAACAAAGAUGUGUGCAGCUGAGAAAUGGAAGUCAUACAUAGUUUUCCAUCACAGAGUACCAGAGUAUCUGAAACAGCAAUUUAAAACAUGCUCCAAGAAGUUUUGAAUUUCCCUGUAAUUUCAGAUGGAACUUUACAAUAAAAUAAAAUGCUUCAUAAAAG